This 70-nucleotide transfer RNA is filed under the name Sarcophilus harrisii (Tasmanian devil). It matches the Rfam family "tRNA". From Rfam's summary of the family: Transfer RNA (tRNA) molecules are approximately 80 nucleotides in length. Lineage: Eukaryota; Metazoa; Chordata; Mammalia; Dasyuromorphia; Dasyuridae. The record is from Rfam by way of RNAcentral.
GGCCAGCUCAGUUGGUUAAAGCAUGGUGCUAAUAAGACCAAGGUCAUGGGUUCAAUCCCUGUGUGGGCCA